RNAcentral lists this ribosomal RNA (250 nucleotides) under uncultured prokaryote. RNAcentral describes it as "partial 16S ribosomal RNA". It matches the Rfam family "Bacterial small subunit ribosomal RNA", at positions 524 to 773 of the family's 1533-position model. The record is from RNAcentral.
UACAGAGGUCUCAAGCGUUGUUCGGAUUUACUGGGCGUAAAGGGUGCGUAGGCGGUGGUGUGUGUAGCGUGUGAAAUCUACGGGCUCAACCCGUAAAGUGCGCGCUAAACUGCAACACUAGAGUAUGGGAGAGGGAAGGGGAAUGCAAGGUGUAGCGGUGAAAUGCGUUGAUAUCUUGCAGAACACCGGAGGCGAAGGCGCCUUCCUGGAACAUGACUGACGCUCAGGCACGAAAGUCGGGGGAGCAAAC